UGGGGAAUAUUGCACAAUGGGGGGAACCCUGAUGCAGCGACGCCGCGUGAGUGAAGAAGUAUUUCGGUAUGUAAAGCUCUAUCAGCAGGGACGAAGAUGACGGUACCUGCAGAAGAAGCCCCGGCUAACUACGUGCCAGCAGCCGCGGUAAUACGUAGGGGGCAAGCGUUAUCCGGAUUUACUGGGUGUAAAGGGAGCGUAGACGGCAGGGCAAGCCAGAAGUGAAAACGCAGAGCUUAACUUUGCGACUGCUUUUGGAACUGCCCAGCUAGAGUACAGGAGAGGUAAGUGGAAUUCCUAGUG
RNAcentral lists this ribosomal RNA (303 nucleotides) under uncultured bacterium. RNAcentral describes it as "bacterial SSU rRNA". It matches the Rfam family "Bacterial small subunit ribosomal RNA", at positions 355 to 675 of the family's 1533-position model. The record is from RNAcentral.